Molecule: ribosomal RNA, 106 nt
Filed under: Pteropus alecto (black flying fox)
Lineage: Eukaryota; Metazoa; Chordata; Mammalia; Chiroptera; Pteropodidae
Source: RNAcentral
GUCUACGGCCAUGCCACCUUGAACAAGCCCGAUCCCAUCUGAUCUCGGAAGCUAAGCAGGGUCGGGCCUGGUUAGUACUUGGAUGGAAGACCAGGUGCUGUAGGCA